Long non-coding RNA from Solenopsis invicta (red fire ant), 852 nucleotides. RefSeq lists it as uncharacterized. The transcript is spliced from 4 exons. NCBI's taxonomy places the organism in Eukaryota, Metazoa, Arthropoda, Insecta, Hymenoptera, Formicidae. The record is from RefSeq and is a predicted model, not a curated record.
CGACAAUUGACUCUCGCCAACUUCGCGCAAUUCGCGGUAUCCCGCGGUACCCAGAGGCACCCGCGCACGGCGUCGGUAUGAAGUUGUCGAUGUUCGAAUCUAUCGUCGAAGAAGCACCAUAACGCAUCGGUCGUUUCGUUUUGACAGUGUUUAGUCGCGAAUGUCGUAUUAUAACAGUGAGUUUGAUGGCGUUUUCGCGAGUGUCCCCUUAUGCACGCGACGACGAUAAAGUAUAAGACGCACCAGAUUCAUUGGCAGAACAGCAACCAGAUCAUCUUCAGGGCAUCGGCACUCUGUGUUGAAUGAAUUGGGGCCCACUCCAGUUCGGUUUGAUCGCAUUUUCACGAAUGUUGCCUUGUAAAUGUGCAAUGUGCGACAAGGAGGCGCGAGACGACGGCGAAGCCUGGAAGACAUCAGGGCAUCUUCGAGAUCAUCUUCGGGGCAUCGAAAUGUUUAAUCGUGAUUACGUCUUAUUACGAUUGGUUUGAUGACGUUUUCGCGAAUGUUGCCUACGAGUGUGUGACGGGGAAGCGCGAGACGACGACGACGGAGCCUGGAAAACAUCUGCGGAUUCGUUGACAGAGCAUCUCCAAUGUCAUCUUUGGAACAUCUAUCCUGCAUCAGACUCUGUCUUACAGUCCUCCCAAAAAAAUAAAAAAUAUCAAGAACGAGCGUCAAAUAUUUUAAUAAAAUUAUUUUCACUGGAAGUGACACGUGUCUCUUGAUAAUUUGGUGCUUGAUUGUUUGCAUUGUUUCGUUUUCUUAUAGAGAUUGCCAGGUACAGUCCGACAAGGAAGCAGAGAAACUGAAAAGUGUACACACAAUUAUUACAAAAUAAAUCCAUAGACAAAA